This 253-nucleotide ribosomal RNA is filed under the name uncultured bacterium. Its description in RNAcentral is "partial 16S ribosomal RNA". It matches the Rfam family "Bacterial small subunit ribosomal RNA", at positions 524 to 776 of the family's 1533-position model. The record is from RNAcentral.
UACAGAGGGUGCAAGCGUUGUUCGGAAUUACUGGGCGUAAAGCGUGCGUAGUCGGUAUUGAGAGUCACGGGUGAAAUCCCAGGGCUUAACCCUGGAACUGCCUGUGAGACCUCAGUACUAGAGUGUGAGAGGGGAUAGUGGAAUACCCAGUGUAGCGGUGAAAUGCGUAGAGAUUGGGUGGAACACCGGUGGCGAAGGCGGCUAUCUGGCUCACAACUGACGAUCAGGCACGAAAGCGUGGGGAGCGAACAGG